UCACGGCCGAUGUGAACGGAGACGCAGCUGCUUCUCUCCCGGUUAUUCCCCGAGGACAUGGAGGAGAGGACUGUGAGAAUGUUAUGGAACUGCCAUCAGGUGUGUUCAGAGAGACUCACAGCAUUGCACAGCUUCUUCUUCUGAGGAUCAGAGUGGACGGCCUGGAGCCCGCCAACAGGGCUCUCUCAGGAGAGGAUAAGUGCAUUAAAGCUGUUUCAUUUAAAGGCCUGCUCACCAGAGGAAAAGAUAUCUUCAAGCAGCUCUAACAGAUGUAACUGUACACAGAGACGAUG
Molecule: long non-coding RNA, 293 nt
Organism: Cheilinus undulatus (humphead wrasse)
Lineage: Eukaryota; Metazoa; Chordata; Actinopteri; Labriformes; Labridae
Exons: 4
Source: RefSeq, a predicted model, not a curated record